Molecule: ribosomal RNA, 1458 nt
Filed under: Escherichia coli
Lineage: Bacteria; Pseudomonadati; Pseudomonadota; Gammaproteobacteria; Enterobacterales; Enterobacteriaceae
Also listed under: 1 other name
Description: partial 23S ribosomal RNA
Rfam family: Bacterial large subunit ribosomal RNA
Source: RNAcentral
CGGGACACGUGGUAUCCUGUCUGAAUAUGGGGGGACCAUCCUCCAAGGCUAAAUACUCCUGACUGACCGAUAGUGAACCAGUACCGUGAGGGAAAGGCGAAAAGAACCCCGGCGAGGGGAGUGAAAAAGAACCUGAAACCGUGUACGUACAAGCAGUGGGAGCACGCUUAGGCGUGUGACUGCGUACCUUUUGUAUAAUGGGUCAGCGACUUAUAUUCUGUAGCAAGGUUAACCGAAUAGGGGAGCCGAAGGGAAACCGAGUCUUAACUGGGCGUUAAGUUGCAGGGUAUAGACCCGAAACCCGGUGAUCUAGCCAUGGGCAGGUUGAAGGUUGGGUAACACUAACUGGAGGACCGAACCGACUAAUGUUGAAAAAUUAGCGGAUGACUUGUGGCUGGGGGUGAAAGGCCAAUCAAACCGGGAGAUAGCUGGUUCUCCCCGAAAGCUAUUUAGGUAGCGCCUCGUGAAUUCAUCUCCGGGGGUAGAGCACUGUUUCGGCAAGGGGGUCAUCCCGACUUACCAACCCGAUGCAAACUGCGAAUACCGGAGAAUGUUAUCACGGGAGACACACGGCGGGUGCUAACGUCCGUCGUGAAGAGGGAAACAACCCAGACCGCCAGCUAAGGUCCCAAAGUCAUGGUUAAGUGGGAAACGAUGUGGGAAGGCCCAGACAGCCAGGAUGUUGGCUUAGAAGCAGCCAUCAUUUAAAGAAAGCGUAAUAGCUCACUGGUCGAGUCGGCCUGCGCGGAAGAUGUAACGGGGCUAAACCAUGCACCGAAGCUGCGGCAGCGACGCUGAUGCGUUGUUGGGUAGGGGAGCGUUCUGUAAGCCUGUGAAGGUGUGCUGUGAGGCAUGCUGGAGGUAUCAGAAGUGCGAAUGCUGACAUAAGUAACGAUAAAGCGGGUGAAAAGCCCGCUCGCCGGAAGACCAAGGGUUCCUGUCCAACGUUAAUCGGGGCAGGGUGAGUCGACCCCUAAGGCGAGGCCGAAAGGCGUAGUCGAUGGGAAACAGGUUAAUAUUCCUGUACUUGGUGUUACUGCGAAGGGGGGACGGAGAAGGCUAUGUUGGCCGGGCGACGGUUGUCCCGGUUUAAGCGUGUAGGCUGGUUUUCCAGGCAAAUCCGGAAAAUCAAGGCUGAGGCGUGAUGACGAGGCACUACGGUGCUGAAGCAACAAAUGCCCUGCUUCCAGGAAAAGCCUCUAAGCAUCAGGUAACAUCAAAUCGUACCCCAAACCGACACAGGUGGUCAGGUAGAGAAUACCAAGGCGCUUGAGAGAACUCGGGUGAAGGAACUAGGCAAAAUGGUGCCGUAACUUCGGGAGAAGGCACGCUGAUAUGUAGGUGAAGCGACUUGCUCGUGGAGCUGAAAUCAGUCGAAGAUACCAGCUGGCUGCAACUGUUUAUUAAAAACACAGCACUGUGCAAACACGAAAGUGGACGUAUACGGUGUGACGCCUG